UACGUAGGGUGCGAGCGUUAAUCGGAAUUACUGGGCGUAAAGCGUGCGCAGGCGGUUCGUUGUGUCGGUGGUGAAAUCCCCGGGCUUAACCUGGGAAUGGCAUUUGGGACUGCAAGGCUCGAGUGCGGCAGAGGAGACUGGAAUUCCUGGUGUAGCAGUGAAAUGCGUAGAUAUCAGGAGGAACACCGAUGGCGAAGACAGGUCUCUGGGCUGACACUGACGCUCAUGCACGAAAGCGUGGGGAGCAAACAGG
RNAcentral lists this ribosomal RNA (253 nucleotides) under uncultured bacterium. RNAcentral describes it as "partial 16S ribosomal RNA". It matches the Rfam family "Bacterial small subunit ribosomal RNA", at positions 524 to 776 of the family's 1533-position model. The record is from RNAcentral.